ACGAACCUUAAGCAAAAACCAGCAAGCUCAUAGCUGGCAAGUACCAUUUUUGGUUAUAUUCCAAUUAGUUUAAGCUUUCUCAGUUGUUGAUUCACCAUUUCUGGUAAAGAAUUUAUGGCUCUUAUUGUCUUCUUCUCCAAAGAAACGGUAACAUCUGUUUUUGGUUUUUCUUUUAGUUUUCUUUUGGUGCCCUUCUGCUUGCCAGUAUGAAUUUGAGAGAUUUAUCAACGAAAUUCGGAUUUCAAACGAUUAUAGAUGAUUUUCAAAUUAAAAAAGCCGUCCCACAUCAAAUUUGAAUAUCUAAAACCCUAGACCUGGUUCUCUAUAAAUAGAACUCAUUCUCUUCUUCACCAGAGAGAGGUUUUUCACAACCACACACGGUUUUUACACCACCAAAAAAAGUUUGAACACCCCCAAGUUCAGAACUUUUCAAUUACUUGGCUCUAAACAAGAAAUUUCUCUUAUAAGUCUAGUUCUUGAAUUAUCGGAACAAGUUAAAAUAUUUUUGAGUUCGAGUUAGUUGUCGCAUUGGUUCGAAGGUGAUUCGCAACUCUCGUCGUCCUCGUCGCUGCAUAGAAAAAAGGAGUUAUAUACGCAUAUAUACAGUACUUAUGCAUAUCAUUGGCCCUCAGAGGCAGUUCAGAUAUACAGGUUCAGGUAGACAGGGUGAUGAUCCACCUCAAUAGGCUUCCGUUCAGAUGAUAUUGGAGCAUUCCACUUGUCUCGACGUUGCUGUCGUGUCUUGGUAUGGUAUAUUUUUAUUGUACAUAUGGGUAAGUCGGGGCCUUGUCCCGACCUUAUUAGGUCAUAUACUCCAGUAGAGGCUUGUAGACAGUUAUGGUAACUAGACGUUGUAUGGCCCUCUCGACCCGUAUUUUGUUGCAUAGAUGUUUGUGCUGCCUUGUCGGCUCGUACAGUUAUGUCCAGCAUGGUUAUAUACGUAAGUCCUUUUGGGCUCGUCUCUUUUCAAUAUAUUUCUCUUAUGAAUUAGCAGGUCGUCAUUUGAUGAACCUACUGGUCCAACCUUGUUUAUAGUUAUGUUAUGAAAGGAUGUCUAGCGAAGCUCGGCACAUAAGGUCGGGUGCCCGUCAUGGCCCUCCGGUUGGGUCGUGACUGAGACCAAGGUUUCUCCAGCUGGAUUAUGUCCGGAAAGUCCUAUUGUCCCAGUCUGUGAACCAUCGCGAAGGAGUUCUAUUCCGCUGGUUGAAACAGGAACUUCGGGCUCAUCUCUACAUCCAAAACCUCCGGUUGUCAGCUUGGAAUCUUCAUUGGCUCACCUGGCCAAUCUAUUCCUUCAGGGUCACGUGGCUGCCACCUCCACUACUGAAUUUGCAUGAUCCAUUGCUCCCUCUCGUGGCGAGGUCAAGCUACAGGAAGAAAACGACCAGCUAAGGGCUAAAGUUAAGCGGCUGCAGGCUGAGAUUCAAGAUUCUGAUUCUCUCCAAGCCGCCCUGAGAAUGUAAUUGGAAGAUGCGGCUAAUUCACUAAGGGACCGGGAGAAUUCUCUUCAGAUUCUAACUUCCUCAUAUAUAUGUCUUCAGAAUAAAG
Molecule: long non-coding RNA, 1548 nt
Organism: Lycium ferocissimum
Lineage: Eukaryota; Viridiplantae; Streptophyta; Magnoliopsida; Solanales; Solanaceae
Exons: 4
Source: RefSeq, a predicted model, not a curated record